RNAcentral lists this ribosomal RNA (959 nucleotides) under Pyrenochaeta sp. 2 TKPB-2014. RNAcentral describes it as "partial 28S ribosomal RNA". It matches the Rfam family "Eukaryotic large subunit ribosomal RNA", at positions 1 to 978 of the family's 3401-position model. Lineage: Eukaryota; Fungi; Ascomycota; Dothideomycetes; Pleosporales; Cucurbitariaceae. The record is from RNAcentral.
UGACCUCGGAUCUGGUAGGGAUACCCGCUGAACUUAAGCAUAUCAAUAAGCGGAGGAAAAGAAACCAACAGGGAUUGCCUUAGUAACGGCGAGUGAAGCGGCAACAGCUCAAAUUUGAAAUCUGGCUCUUUCAGGGUCCGAGUUGUAAUUUGCAGAGGGCGCUUUGGUGUUGGCAGCGGUCCAAGUUCCUUGGAACAGGACGUCACAGAGGGUGAGAAUCCCGUACGUGGUCGCUAACCUUCACCGUGUAAAGCCCCUUCGACGAGUCGAGUUGUUUGGGAAUGCAGCUCUAAAUGGGAGGUAAAUUUCUUCUAAAGCUAAAUACUGGCCAGAGACCGAUAGCGCACAAGUAGAGUGAUCGAAAGAUGAAAAGCACUUUGGAAAGAGAGUCAAACAGCACGUGAAAUUGUUAAAAGGGAAGCGCUUGCAGCCAGACUUGCCUGUAGUUGCUCAUCCGGGCUUUUGCCCGGUGCACUCUUCUAUAGGCAGGCCAGCAUCAGUUUGGGCGGUUGGAUAAAGGUCUCUGUCAUGUACCUCUCUUCGGGGAGGCCUUAUAGGGGAGACGACAUGCAACCAGCCUGAACUGAGGUCCGCGCAUUUGCUAGGAUGCUGGCGUAAUGGCUGUAAGCGGCCCGUCUUGAAACACGGACCAAGGAGUCUAACAUCUAUGCGAGUGUUUGGGUGUCAAGCCCGAACGCGUAAUGAAAGUGAACGGAGGUGGGACCCCAUUAGGGUGCACCAUCGACCGAUCCUGAUGUCUUCGGAUGGAUUUGAGUAAGAGCAUAGCUGUUGGGACCCGAAAGAUGGUGAACUAUGCUUGAAUAGGGUGAAGCCAGAGGAAACUCUGGUGGAGGCUCGCAGCGGUUCUGACGUGCAAAUCGAUCGUCAAAUUUGGGCAUAGGGGCGAAAGACUAAUCGAACUAUCUAGUAGCUGGUUCCUGCCGAAGUUUCCCUCAGGA